CCUACGGGAGGCAGCAGUGGGGAAUAUUGCACAAUGGGCGCAAGCCUGAUGCAGCCAUGCCGCGUGUGUGAAGAAGGCCUUCGGGUUGUAAAGCACUUUCAGCGAGGAGGAAGGGUUCAGUGUUAAUAGCACUGUGCAUUGACGUUACUCGCAGAAGAAGCACCGGCUAACUCCGUGCCAGCAGCCGCGGUAAUACGGAGGGUGCAAGCGUUAAUCGGAAUUACUGGGCGUAAAGCGCACGCAGGCGGUUUGUUAAGUCAGAUGUGAAAUCCCCGCGCUUAACGUGGGAACUGCAUUUGAAACUGGCAAGCUAGAGUCUUGUAGAGGGGGGUAGAAUUCCAGGUGUAGCGGUGAAAUGCGUAGAGAUCUGGAGGAAUACCGGUGGCGAAGGCGGCCCCCUGGACAAAGACUGACGCUCAGGUGCGAAAGCGUGGGGU
RNAcentral lists this ribosomal RNA (437 nucleotides) under Enterobacteriaceae bacterium N1-29PA. RNAcentral's name for it is "bacterial SSU rRNA". It matches the Rfam family "Bacterial small subunit ribosomal RNA", at positions 338 to 767 of the family's 1533-position model. Lineage: Bacteria; Pseudomonadati; Pseudomonadota; Gammaproteobacteria; Enterobacterales; Enterobacteriaceae. The record is from RNAcentral.